RNAcentral lists this ribosomal RNA (117 nucleotides) under Larimichthys crocea (large yellow croaker). Lineage: Eukaryota; Metazoa; Chordata; Actinopteri; Sciaenidae. The record is from RNAcentral.
GCUUACGGCCAUACCACCUGAAUGUGCCCAUCUCGUCUGAUCUCGGCAGCUAAGCAGGGUCAGGCCUGGUUAGUACUUGGAUGGGUGACCGCCUGGGAAUACCAGGUGCUGUAAGCU